ACCAGACUCCUACGGGAGGCAGCAGGGGGGGAUAUUGCACAAUGGGGGAAACCCUGAUGCAGCGACGCCGCGUGAGUGAAGAAGUAUUUCGGUAUGUAAAGCUCUAUCAGCAGGGAAGAAGCAAGACGGUACCUGACUAAGAAGCCCCGGCUAACUACGUGCCAGCAGCCGCGGUAAUACGUAGGGGGCAAGCGUUAUCCGGAUUUACUGGGUGUAAAGGGGGCGCAGACGGCAGCGCAAGCCAGGAGUGAAAGCCGGGGGCCCAACCCCGGGACGUCUCUUGGAACUGCGCGGCUGGAGUGCAGGAGGGGCAGGCGGAAUUCCUGGUGUAGCGGUGAAAUGCGUAGAUAUCAGGAGGAACCCCGGUGGCGAAGGCGGCCUGCUGGACUGCGACUGACGUUGAGGC
This 406-nucleotide ribosomal RNA is filed under the name uncultured bacterium. RNAcentral's name for it is "partial 16S ribosomal RNA". It matches the Rfam family "Bacterial small subunit ribosomal RNA", at positions 330 to 752 of the family's 1533-position model. The record is from RNAcentral.